RNAcentral lists this ribosomal RNA (465 nucleotides) under uncultured bacterium. Its description in RNAcentral is "partial 16S ribosomal RNA". It matches the Rfam family "Bacterial small subunit ribosomal RNA", at positions 338 to 795 of the family's 1533-position model. The record is from RNAcentral.
CCUACGGGCGGCAGCAGUGGGGAAUAUUGCGCAAUGGGCGAGAGCCUGACGCAGCGACGCCGCGUGAGGGAUGAAGGUCUUCGGGUCGUAAACCUCUGUCAGCCGGGGAGCACGGUCACUGUGCUAAUCAGCAGUGAAUUGUACGUACCUGCAAAGGAACCACCGGCUCACUCCGUGCCAGCAGCCGGGGUAAUACGGAGGGUGCGUGCGUUAAUCGGAAUUCCUGGGCGUAAAGCGCUCGUGGGCGGUAUGGCAAGUCAAGGGUGAAAUCGCCGAGCUCAACGUGGGAACUGCCGUUGAAACUGGCAAACGUGAGUGGGUGAGAGGAAAGUGGAAUUCGUGGUGUAGGGGUGAAAUGCGUAGAUAUCAGGAGGAACAUCGGUGGCGAAGGCGACUAACUGGCACAUAACUGACGCUGAGGAGCGAAAGCGUGGGUAGCAAACAGGAUUAGAUACCCUUGUAGUC